RNAcentral lists this long non-coding RNA (1768 nucleotides) under Pan troglodytes (chimpanzee). RNAcentral describes it as "long non-coding RNA NONPTRT008805". The record is from RNAcentral. Lineage: Eukaryota; Metazoa; Chordata; Mammalia; Primates; Hominidae.
AAAAUUCACAAUCCCUGUCACCCAUUCAAAAAUCACCAGGCAUGCGAGGAAGCAGGAAAAGGAAAAUGCACCCAGAAGAGAAGGAGCACCCAUCAACGGGGCCGCCUCAGAAGCGACAGACGACCGGGCAAGUCCAAGGGCACCGAGGCACCUGCCACCGCUGUGUCCAGCGCUCCCGAAGCCAGAGGGCAGAUUGAGGUUCAGAGAAGUCAGAAGCCUUCCCAAGGUUGCACAGCCAGAAGUGGGCACAGCGUCCUGGGGUGAGGCCUCACACCCUCUGCGCCACCUGCCCUCCAGGUCCCACCAUCCUCACAAAUUCAAGGCAAGGUUCUGGAACCCCCAGCCCUCCAGAAAGGGGAAGCUGAGCCCAGGAGGCACAUCUGAGAGUUCGGCCACCUGCACGGCCACGCCAGUGUGAUUCCUCAGCAGCCACACAGAAGACAGAUGGUCCAUAGGAGACUCAGAAACAGAGAAGCCUCACGCCAGGUCCACAGAGGCACCCACUCCCGCCAAAAGGAUGCCACGCACUCACCCUGCCCUCUGGGGAGCACAGUGGGAGUCCAGGACACCGCCUUGGAUGGGGUGAGGCUCCGUCUGUGACCUCAGAAAGUCAGUCUGGGGCUGGACUUGACAUGGGAAACAGAAUAAAACUGCCUGUCCACCUGAGCUUGCCGCCCUAAAAAUCCCUGACAUGAUACAGAAGUCAGUGCUGACAGAGGGCCUGCUGCCCCCAGUGACGCUGCCGGUGGGGUCUCAACCCACCCACUUCUGGAGCAGCCGGUCCCAGCUGUGGUCCUGCUGGCGCACACGGGGAUGAGACCCUUAAACACACAGCGACUGCACAGUGCAACCCUGCAUAUCCCAUUUGGGUACAAGUUUCAUUACCGGAAGAAACAUGGGGAGGGACCCCAGAGCAUCUCACGCGUGGGUACCCUCCGCUGUGUUAGCAUCCCGGCCCUCACACGGCACCCAGGCCUCAUUGGAACAAGGCCUUGUGCAGACACGGUGGGAUCUGCGUGUGCAUUGGGGCCUGUGCCUGGGCUGCUGCUCCCCGGACACCGCUGUCAGGAUCUCCAGGACCCCCAUGAGUGGUCAGUGGAGCAGAGAUGGCACAGACGCCAGCGACCUGGGUCAUUCUCUACCUGGGAUGUGGGACCCCAGAGACCACGCUGUGGGUCUUUAUCUGCCUCUUCAUGCAGGAGCAGGCGCGACCCCUGCCUGCCCCAGCCAUGAGAAUCUGUCACAGGGGACCUCUGUGGCACCCUGUGCUGCAGGCAAGGCCUUAGGACAGACGCCACGCCACUGUCCAGGAGACUGUCUCCUGAGACUGACCUCCCCUUGCACUGGGCAAUGUCUGCUGAAGAUAAGGACGUCUUCGCUGGGCCAGGCCUGGAGUUCUCCCAGAUCGUGAGCUUUCCUCUCUCUGAUGAAGAGGAUACCUGUGGUCAAACUCCUACAGAGCACUGGGGACAGGAAGGCAGGCAGAGUCCCACCUGGGCAGGUGGUAGGAGUGGAAGGAGCAGUCAGGCAGCAGGGCUGCCCAGGGCUAGGAGUCUGGCUGCGAGCAGGGCCCACCCUCCCCUGGACACAAUGGAAGAUCCCGUGUGUGGUUUUCACUGACUGAGCACCUAUCUCGUGCCAGACAUGUGGGACUGCCGAUGAAUUAACAAAAGCCCUGCUCUCAGGGGGGCUCCCAUCCCAGCACAUACACCAUCACAUCUGGGGUCCAGCCUGGACCACCCCCAUGCAGUUGGAGAGGGUCUCAGAA